RNAcentral lists this transfer RNA (74 nucleotides) under uncultured Armatimonadota bacterium. RNAcentral describes it as "uncultured Armatimonadetes bacterium tRNA-Gln-TTG". It matches the Rfam family "tRNA". From Rfam's summary of the family: Transfer RNA (tRNA) molecules are approximately 80 nucleotides in length. Their secondary structure includes four short double-helical elements and three loops (D, anti-codon, and T loops). RNAcentral also lists the same sequence under 1 other name. The record is from RNAcentral. Lineage: Bacteria; Bacillati; Armatimonadota.
UCCGGGGUCGUUCAAUGGCAGGACAACAGAUUUUGGAUCUGUUUAUCGGAGUUCGAAUCUCUGCCCCGGAACCA